This is a long non-coding RNA of Hibiscus syriacus, 533 nucleotides long. RefSeq lists it as uncharacterized. Lineage: Eukaryota; Viridiplantae; Streptophyta; Magnoliopsida; Malvales; Malvaceae. The record is from RefSeq and is a predicted model, not a curated record. The transcript is spliced from 2 exons.
GUGACUGAAGUUCAUGGGAGGACAAUUGGAGUUUGGACACUUUUGACUUGUACCCUCUGCUUUCUUUGUGCAUUUAACUUGGAAAAUAAGCCACUAUACUUGGUGACGUUAUUGUCAUUCAUCUAUGCCUUUGGUCACUUUUUGACUGAAUACCUCUUCUACCUCACAAUGGCCCUCUCAAAUCUGAAAACUGUAGGCAUAUUUGCAGGGACAUCAAUUAAAUGGAUGCUAUUACAAUCGAAUGCGCUUCAAGAAAGACAUGACAAGCAUACCUGAGAAUGAACUCAUCUACUUUCGUUUUCUUUGAUCUUAUUGCUGUUGCAGGGAUUUCUCAGUGUCGGCUUUAUAUUCGAAUGAGUACUAAUUGAUAUCAUCUGUUUGCACUUAGAUUCUGGACUUCUGUCUGAUGGACUCACAAAGCAUUCAGAACAUUCGGAAUGUGCAAUUCUGUUCGAGUAAUUUGAUUAUAAGUUGCUACAAAGAGACAAGAUUUUGAACUUCUAGUGCUUUCUUAAUUGAUGGUAUUUGGAAUC